Molecule: ribosomal RNA, 430 nt
Filed under: uncultured bacterium
Lineage: Bacteria
Description: partial 16S ribosomal RNA
Rfam family: Bacterial small subunit ribosomal RNA
Source: RNAcentral
AACGAACGCUGGCGGCAGGCUUAACACAUGCAAGUCGAGCGCCCCGCAAGGGGAGCGGCAGACGGGUGAGUAACGCGUGGGAACGUACCUUUUGGUUCGGAACAACUCCGGGAAACUGGAGCUAAUACCGGAUAAGCCCUAACGGGGAAAGAUUUAUCGCCGAAAGAUCGGCCCGCGUCUGAUUAGCUAGUUGGUGAGGUAACGGCUCACCAAGGCGACGAUCAGUAGCUGGUCUGAGAGGAUGAUCAGCCACACUGGGACUGAGACACGGCCCAGACUCCUCGGGGGGGCAGCAGGGGGGAAUAUGGGAAAAGGGGCGAAAGCCGGAUCCGCCCAGGCCGGGGGAGUGAUGAAGGCCUUGGGGUUGUAAAGCUCUUUUGCCCGGGAAGAUAAUGACUGUCCCGGAAAAAAAAGCCCCGGUUACCUUCGU